CCUACGGGGGGCAGCAGUGAGGAAUUUUGCGCAAUGGGGGAAACCCUGACGCAGCAACGCCGCGUGAGCGAAGAAGGCCUUCGGGUCGUAAAGCUCUGUCAAGUGGGAAAAAAGCCUUUUGGUUAAUAUCCGGGAGGUCCGAUGGUACCACUGGAGGAAGCACCGGCUAACUCCGUGCCAGCAGCCGCGGUAAUACGGAGGGUGCAAGCGUUGUUCGGAAUUACUGGGCGUAAAGCGCGUGCAGGCGGUUUGGUAAGUCAGAUGUGAAAGCCCUGGGCUCAACCCGGGAAGUGCAUUUGAAACUGCCUUUCUUGAGUAUGGGAGAGGAGAGUGGAAUUCCCAGUGUAGAGGUGAAAUUCGUAGAUAUUGGGAGGAACACCCGUGGCGAAGGCGACUCUCUGGACCAAUACUGACGCUGAGACGCGAAAGCGUGGGGAGCAAACAGGAUUAGAUACCCUAGUAGUC
RNAcentral lists this ribosomal RNA (465 nucleotides) under uncultured bacterium. RNAcentral's name for it is "bacterial SSU rRNA". It matches the Rfam family "Bacterial small subunit ribosomal RNA", at positions 338 to 795 of the family's 1533-position model. The record is from RNAcentral.